RNAcentral lists this ribosomal RNA (406 nucleotides) under uncultured bacterium. RNAcentral's name for it is "partial 16S ribosomal RNA". It matches the Rfam family "Bacterial small subunit ribosomal RNA", at positions 29 to 526 of the family's 1533-position model. The record is from RNAcentral.
AUUGAACGCUGGCGGCAGGCCUAACACAUGCAAGUCGAACGAGUGGCGGACGGGUGAGUAAUGUCUGGGAAAGUGCCUGAUGGAGGGGGAUAACUACUGGAAACGGUAGCUAAUACCGCAUACCAUCGGAUGUGCCCAGAUGGGAUUAGCUAGUAGGUGGGGUAAAGGCUCACCUAGGCGACGAUCCCUAGCUGGUCUGAGAGGAUGACCGGCCAAACUGGAACUGAGGCACGGGCCGGACACCUACGGGACGCAGACGUGGGGACUAUGGGACAAUGGGCGCAAGCCGGAUGCAGCCAUUCCGGGUGUAUGAAGAAGGCCUUCGAGUUGGAAAGUACUUUCAGCGCGGAGGCGGUUCCCGCAGCAGAAGCACCUGCUAACUCCGUGACAGCAGCCGCGGUAAUUC